Long non-coding RNA from Hemicordylus capensis (graceful crag lizard), 347 nucleotides. RefSeq lists it as uncharacterized. The transcript has 3 exons. Lineage: Eukaryota; Metazoa; Chordata; Lepidosauria; Squamata; Cordylidae. The record is from RefSeq and is a predicted model, not a curated record.
GUGGGCAUGGAAGUCAUCUUUGUUUUUACAGAGGAAGAGGCGUUCCCGCCCCCACCCCUGGCUCCAGAUCAGCCAGGUCUUGCUCCCAGCUAAAGAAGCCAACGAGAGAGAGCCUAGGAAGAGAGCUUGCAGACGUGGGAGAUGCUGACCUAUGCCUUGGCGCUUUCCAGAUUACACACUGCAACAGAGGAAGACCCUCAAGACUCUCUGGUUCUUGCAAGCUUUUAAUUAGAAUUAAUUUUAAUUGUUUGAAAUAAUAACUGUUUUAUGCUAUAUAUUUUAAUCUGUGUUGACUUUUAAAUAUUUUUGAAUAACUUUGAACACCACCUAGAGAUGUACAUAGCAGG